UGGCGACCGGCGCACGGGUGAGUAACGCGUAUGCAACCUGCCCGAUACCGGGGUAUAGCCCAUGGAAACGUGGAUUAACACCCCAUAGUACUUUUAUCCUGCCUGGGAUGUGAGUUAAAUGUUCAAGGUAUCGGAUGGGCAUGCGUCCUAUUAGUUAGUUGGCGGGGUAACAGCCCACCAAGACGAUGAUGGGUAGGGGUUCUGAGAGGAAGGUCCCCCACAUUGGAACUGAGACACGGUCCAA
This 244-nucleotide ribosomal RNA is filed under the name uncultured bacterium. RNAcentral's name for it is "partial 16S ribosomal RNA". It matches the Rfam family "Bacterial small subunit ribosomal RNA", at positions 89 to 334 of the family's 1533-position model. The record is from RNAcentral.